GCAUAUCAAUAAGCGGAGGAAAAGAAACCAACAGGGAUUGCCCUAGUAACGGCGAGUGAAGCGGCAACAGCUCAAAUUUGAAAUCUGGCGCAAGCCCGAGUUGUAAUUUGUAGAGGAUGCUUCUAGGUAGCGACCGGUCUAAGUUCCUUGGAACAGGACGUCAUAGAGGGUGAGAAUCCCGUAUGUGACCGGCCCGCACCUUCUACGUAGCUCCUUCGACGAGUCGAGUUGUUUGGGAAUGCAGCUCUAAAUGGGAGGUAAAUUUCUUCUAAAGCUAAAUACCGGCCAGAGACCGAUAGCGCACAAGUAGAGUGAUCGAAAGAUGAAAAGCACUUUGGAAAGAGAGUUAAAAAGCACGUGAAAUUGUUGAAAGGGAAGCGCUUACAACCAGACUUCUGGGCGGUGUUCCGCCGGUCUUCUGACCGGUCUACUCGCCGUCCCGAGGCCAACAUCAUCUGGGACCGCUGGAUAAGACCUCAGGAAUGUAGCUUCCCUCGGGAAGUGUUAUAGCCUGUGGUGAUGCAGCGCGUCUCGGGUGAGGUCCGCGCUUCGGCAAGGAUGUUGGCGUAAUGGUUGUCAGCGGCCCGUCUUGAAACACGGACCAAGGAGUCUAACAUCUAUGCGAGUGUUCGGGUGUCAAACCCCUACGCGUAAUGAAAGUGAACGGAGGUGGGAAGCGCAAGCUGCACCAUCGACCGAUCCUGAUGUCCUCGGAUGGAUUUGAGUAAGAGCAUAGCUGUUGGGACCCGAAAGAUGGUGAACUAUGCCUGAAUAGGGUGAAGCCAGAGGAAACUCUGGUGGAGGCUCGCAGCGGUUCUGACGUGCAAAUCGAUCGUCAAAUUUGGGUAUAGGGGCGAAAGACUAAUCGAACCAU
RNAcentral lists this ribosomal RNA (874 nucleotides) under Ramularia agrimoniae. RNAcentral describes it as "eukaryotic LSU rRNA". It matches the Rfam family "Eukaryotic large subunit ribosomal RNA", at positions 38 to 943 of the family's 3401-position model. The record is from RNAcentral. Lineage: Eukaryota; Fungi; Ascomycota; Dothideomycetes; Mycosphaerellales; Mycosphaerellaceae.